AUUCUAUCUAAUGUUUUGAUUCAU
This 24-nucleotide small nuclear RNA is filed under the name Arabidopsis thaliana (thale cress). RNAcentral's name for it is "snRNA_15816". The record is from RNAcentral. Lineage: Eukaryota; Viridiplantae; Streptophyta; Magnoliopsida; Brassicales; Brassicaceae.